CUCCAAGACAAGGUAAAUUUUAAAUAUUUUUAAUCCUCGAGAAAUAAGCUAUCGGAAAAUGUUUGAAUCAAGUUUAUAUACGAUCAGAAAUUUAGAAGUUAGGAGUCAAUUUGGCAGCCGCGGCUUGAUUUGGGGUGAAAAUUCUAUAGCCGAUGCCAGGGCCUUCUCAGCACGAAGGCCCUGGGGACGCGGUUGGUCACACUAUGUAUAUAUUAGGCGUAAAAUGAUAAAGUACGCAAAGCAUUCUGAGCAUACCAAGUCUUUAGAAUUUGCUAAAUUGGUUUAAUUUCUAAACUUCGAGGAAUGGUUCGUUUGAAUAGCGAUGUUCUCCAUUCAACAAAUCUGAUUCUAUUGGUGAAUUUGGAUACUGUAAGUAUUGACAAUCUGUU
This is a non-coding RNA of Paramuricea clavata, 389 nucleotides long. The record is from the annotation of a GenBank genome assembly. Lineage: Eukaryota; Metazoa; Cnidaria; Anthozoa; Malacalcyonacea; Plexauridae.